Molecule: ribosomal RNA, 166 nt
Filed under: uncultured type I methanotroph
Lineage: Bacteria; Pseudomonadati; Pseudomonadota; Gammaproteobacteria; Methylococcales; Methylococcaceae
Description: partial 16S ribosomal RNA
Rfam family: Bacterial small subunit ribosomal RNA
Source: RNAcentral
AGGUGCAUGGGGGCACCUGAUCAGCAUGCCGCGUGUGUGAAGAAGGCCUGCGGGUUGUAAAGCACUUUCGGUAGGGACGAAAAGCUGAAGGCUAAUAUCCUUCAGUCUUGACUUAACCUAAAGAAGAAGCACCGGCUAACUCCGUGCCAGCAGCCGCGGUAAACGA